CCACGGUGAAUACGUUCCCGGAGCUUGUACACACCGCCCGUCACACCACGAAAGUCGGGGGCGCCCGACGUGCCUACUUUGCUAGGCCCUAAGGCGAAUUCGGUAAUUGGGGUG
This 114-nucleotide ribosomal RNA is filed under the name uncultured bacterium. RNAcentral describes it as "partial 16S ribosomal RNA". It matches the Rfam family "Bacterial small subunit ribosomal RNA", at positions 1357 to 1482 of the family's 1533-position model. The record is from RNAcentral.